GACGAACGCUGGCGGCGUGCCUAAUACAUGCAAGUCGAGCGAACCAAUAAGAAGCUUGCUUUUUGUUGGUUAGCGGCGGACGGGUGAGUAACACGUGGGUAACCUGCCUGUAAGACCGGGAUAACUCCGGGAAACCGGUGCUAAUACCGGAUAGAUUAUCUUUCCGCAUGGAGAGAUAAGGAAAGAUGGCUAUUGCCAUCACUUACAGAUGGGCCCGCGGCGCAUUAGCUAGUUGGUGAGGUAACGGCUCACCAAGGCGACGAUGCGUAGCCGACCUGAGAGGGUGAUCGGCCACACUGGGACUGAGACACGGCCCAGACUCCUACGGGAGGCAGCAGUAGGGAAUCUUCCGCAAUGGACGAAAGUCUGACGGAGCAACGCCGCGUGAGCGAAGAAGGUCUUCGGAUCGUAAAGCUCUGUUGUUAGGGAAGAACAAGUAUCGGAGGAAAUGCCGGUACCUUGACGGUACCUGACGAGAAAGCCACGGCUGACUACGUG
RNAcentral lists this ribosomal RNA (498 nucleotides) under uncultured bacterium. Its description in RNAcentral is "partial 16S ribosomal RNA". It matches the Rfam family "Bacterial small subunit ribosomal RNA", at positions 28 to 507 of the family's 1533-position model. The record is from RNAcentral.